Molecule: ribosomal RNA, 491 nt
Filed under: uncultured bacterium
Lineage: Bacteria
Description: partial 16S ribosomal RNA
Rfam family: Bacterial small subunit ribosomal RNA
Source: RNAcentral
GAUGAACGCUGGCUACAGGCUUAACACAUGCCAGUCGAGGGGAAACGACGGGGAAGCUUGCUUCCCCGGGCGUCGACCGGCGCACGGGUGAGUAACGCGUAUCCAACCUGCCUCUGACUGAGGGAUAACCCGUCGAAAGUCGGCCUAAUACCUCAUGGUAUCGUCUGCGGGCAUCCAACGACGAUUAAAGAUUUCAUCGGUCAGGGAUGGGGAUGCGUCUGAUUAGCUUGUUGGCGGGGUAACGGCCCACCAAGGCUACGAUCAGUAGGGGUUCUGAGAGGAAGGUCCCCCACAUUGGAACUGAGACACGGUCCAAACUCCUACGGGAGGCAGCAGUGAGGAAUAUUGGUCAAUGGGCGAGAGCCUGAACCAGCCAAGUAGCGUGCAGGAAGACGGCCCUAUGGGUUGUAAACUGCUUUUAUGCGGGGAUAAAGUGAGGGACGUGUCCCUCAUUGCAGGUACCGCAUGAAUAAGGACCGGCUAACUCCGUG